Long non-coding RNA from Dreissena polymorpha, 7288 nucleotides. RefSeq lists it as uncharacterized. NCBI's taxonomy places the organism in Eukaryota, Metazoa, Mollusca, Bivalvia, Myida, Dreissenidae. The record is from RefSeq and is a predicted model, not a curated record. The transcript has 4 exons.
UUUGUGCUGAUGUUAAAUGUUCAGUAAUAAAUAUUUUGAUGGAUUACUCACAUAUUUGAUAUGAUCUAGGAUUAUUUCAGAAUGAUAGGUUAGUAAAUCUAUGUUUGACUAGAUUUUUUUAUAUACUCGCCUUUUGUCGUUUUAACAUUGACUAUAAAAAUCUGCGUUGAGUACGCCUCAUAACAAGAUUUGAGACCUAAAGACCAUGGAUUUGCUUUAACUCGAAGGAAAUACUGGAUGGAUUGUACGGACUCAUGCUUAUCAAUUUUUAUGCCCAUUCAAGCUGUGAGUGUGAAUAUUUCGGCUUGUAUGGUCAUGAAAAAAUAUCAUCACAAAGUCAAUAUUUGUAGGAUUUUUGCAUGUUAAGUAUGAUUUUUUUAUUUCUCAUCAAAUACACAUUCAAUCGUAACUAAAAUCAUGAAGAAUAAACAUGUUCAAUGUGCUUUUCUGUCAUUCUUCGUUUGGUCGUUGAAGGGUUCGGACGUGUUUUUCGAAGCUCUCGACGUCGUGACCUCAUUAUAAUUUGAACUGCGCGGGUAAAGAACGCUCAGUUGCGACUUGGAGAUUGACCAAUACGGACGUGUUUUUAAAGCGCUCUGAAAAAAGUUUUGACUUUUAAAUUUUUUUUACUACGACAGAAUCUUAGUUGACUGAUGGUCUUUGACAAAGACAGACUUGUUUUUGUGAGCUCUGAAAAAAAUUUGACUUUGAAAUAUUUUUACGAUUAAAAAGUUUCAGUUGACUUUUGAACGUUGACGAAGACGGACGUACUUUCGUGAGCUCUGACUAUUGAUGAAAAGUUUUGAGUUUUACUGACUUGUACUUUGAGAGUUAAAUUGACUUCGCGUUAUAGAAUAUGACUUGGUACUCGGGUUAUUGAAUGACUGGUGGACUUUAGUGUUAGGUUAUUGUUAUGAGAUGACGACUUGACUUUGACUUGAGUUGUGUGCAAUUAAAUUUGUGUUGUGGUGUGAAUCGAUUGACUGUCAGUUGAAGUUCAGAUGUCGUGCUGUGUGGAUGGGUUUCUACAAAACGUGAGUACAAACUUUUGUGUUUGACUGUUGACGUGUCUCACUGUGUAUGAUGAUUUAUGAUGAUUUUAAGCGGCUGGCGUAUUAUUGCUGAGUUGUUGUACUGAUAGAGAAGUGAAAUGAGUUGGGCAUAAAUUACUCAGUACUGAUAUAGUGUCGAUAUGUUGUGAUGAGAGAUGAUGGUGUUACAAAAUAUUUACUGAGCUACUUUGGGAAACGAACAGAUGAUGUAAAAACAUUGGAAACAUAUUUCAUGAAAAUGCAUGUGCUUAUAUGUACUAAAUAUGACAUUGCUUUACUUGUAUUUGCAUGCUGUUAACAUUUCUAUUUUAUUCCAGUGGGCUGUGGUGAGUAUUGCAGAUUUAACUUGUAUGUGUGGUUUUUAGUUAACGAUGCUUAAUGAAAACUGUUAUUGUACACUUAGUAUGGAAUGAUGUGAAUGAUGAUAUGAUGGGUAGAAUUAAUCAGUGCUUGUGUCUAGAAAUGCUGAAUGUUUAUUGAAAAGGCUAAAUGCUAGCCAGUACUAAAAGUUGAGCUACCGUGGAAAUGUGAAACGAACUGAUGGUGUAAUAUGAUGGUGUAUUGACAUACUUUUCUUAUAUGUACUAAAUAUGAUAUUGCUUUACUUGUAUUUGCAUGCUGUUAACAUUUCUAUUUUGUUCCAGUGUGCUGUGGUGAGUACUGUAGAUAUUACUUGAUUUUUAGUGUCUAUGAAUGCUGAUGUAUGAUAGCUAUAGCAUGAGCUCAAUGCUAACCAGUAUUAUGAGUUGAUGUAUUGUGGUGAUGCUAAUCGAACUGAUGAUGUAACAUGAUGGUGAACACUUACUGAAUGCAUAAAAUUUAUUGAAUUGCGUUUGUUGAUAUGCACUAUAAUAUGAUAAAUGUAUUGCUUAACAUGUAUAUUUCAUGAUGUUUAAUUUCAGUGGGCUGUGGUGAGUACUGUAGAUUGUAUUGCCUAUGUAUAGAAUUCAAUAAAAGAUUAUGACUGAAAACUGCUUUUGAUUCUUUUUGAACAGUUUUAGGGACUAUAAGUCUUUAACAAAAAUAUGUCGGUUGGCGUUCAUACAGCAAUGUUUUGAGUAGUACAGAAAUGUUUCUACGUUUGUGGUCGCCAGUUGUCUGUGAUGUGUAAAGUGAAAAAUACACGGAGCUUUGAAUACAACAAACAUUUACUGUUUUAACACAGAUUGUGUGCUAUGCAUUUUUCGAUGUAGAUCUUUUUCAGAUUUGACAUGAAAUGUAGACCUGACAUUUGAACAGAGCUGGGAAACGAAAAGGUAAGUUUGUUAAAUUUCACAAUGAACACUUGUGUUUUGACAAAAGAAGAGAUAAAGUGAGUUUUGUCAUCAUCAUGGUUUCUUUCAGAGUAUAACUCGUGAACAGAUGAAAACCUAUUUUUUGCUAGAUUUUCAUGUACUCUUUUUUUGGAUGAUAAGUAUGUCAGUAACUCAAAAUCAUACGGCUAGUACAGUAUGGAACAUGAAUGCUUUGUUCAGAUUUUCAGAUGUGUGCUGGCAGUUUAAGUCUGGCAGCUGAAGUGAACAGUCGUGUUUUCUGGAGCUCCAACAAUAUGCUAGAAGGUAAGUAACUAUGUUUGUUUUGCAUUGCAUGUUUUUAUAUGUUUCAGACUUUCAAGCAGAGAUGUCAUGCUGACUGGAGUUGAGCACAGGGCAGUGACAAAGUGAAAGGUAAGUACUUUUGACUGAAUGUUUGUUCUAUGCAUGUUUUGUUUCAAUACAUUUCAGGAGUGCUUAUCCAGUGAUGAUAUGACAGUUGGAGUGAACAGUGGAGCCAAGCAGUCUUGUUUUUGGAGCUACUCAACAAGCCUUGAAGAUGCUGAUGGCAGUGAUGGGUUUUCAAGCUGACCUGAACAGAAAAGCACUCAUAUGGUAAGUACAAAAUAGUUGUUAUAUGGGAUGUUUUGUGCAUGCUUUUAUGUUUCAGGUGUACUUGCUGACAGCGACGAAGACGAAUCAAGAAGAGGAACAUUGUUCAGAAAGUGAUUGGGACUUGCAAACAGGGUAAGUGUAACACUUGUGUUUGUUUAAUUUGUAACAUGCGUGCUUUGCUCUGUUUCAGAUUUUACAUGCAGAAAUUAAACAGGAUUUCAACUGCUGAGACACAAUUCAUCACAAGUAAGGUAAGUUUUAAUUCAUUGAUUUGAGUUGUACAAUGUGUUCUUUACUUUAUUUCAGAUUCGAGUCACUGGUUUACACAUGGAAGAAGAUUUCCACGUCGGUUACUCAACUCUACAGAAGCAAGGUAAGUCGAUCAAAUUUUUGUUUUCAUUUGUACUGCUGUAAUGUGAUAGUAAACUUAUGCUAUUUUUCAUGUGUGUCAUGUACAGAUGGAUAAUUCAAAAUUGAUCUGUGUUGGUUUAUGUUCAAAAACGUUUUACAUGUAUGUGUGUUUGAAGAUGUUUUGUUUCAGUGGAUGUCCAGAUGGCAAGCAGAACAGACGUGUUUCUUGGAGCUGCCAAACAGUGAGUACAAACGUUUUAUAUUUUUCAGUUGUUUACUCAUAGAAGUCUGUGAAAGAUGAUAACAAGGGUUGAAUUGCACAGUACUUGUGUCUAAAAAUGCUGAUGUGUGACGGUUUACUGAAAAGGGUAAAUGCUAGCCAGUACUAACACUUGAGCAACCGUGGGAUGUCGAACUAACUGAUGAUGUACUAUGAUGGUGAACACUUACUUUGUGUAUCGAAAUGCUUUUGUUGAUAUUUACUAAAUAUUGAUUGACAUUUGUUUGCAUGCUGUUAACAUUUCUAUUUCAUUUCAGUUGGCUGUGGUGAGUAUUGUAAUAUACAUUUGUUUCAAUAAAUCAUGAUGAAUGAACACUGAUUUCGAUUCUUUUUUACAGUUUUAGGGAUUAUCACUCUAUAACAACUCUGUCGGUUGGUGUUCGUGAAUGUGAGCUUAAUGUUUGAGUAGUACAAAAAUGUCUUUACUUUUGUGAUCGCCAGUUGUCUGUGAUGUAAAGUGGAAAAAACACAGCUAUGAAGCAUACAAUUGUUUCAAUAUUUUAUCAAUGAUAGUGUGCUAUGCAUGUUUUGAUUUAGUUCGUUUCAGAUACGACAUGACAUGAAGAGUUGACAGUCGAACAGAGCUGAGCAAAGCAGAAAGGUAAGUGUGUUUCAUUUUAGUAUGGACACUUGUAUUUUGUUUUUAUAUGGUAUGUUUUGUGCAUGCUAUGUUUCAGGUGUACUUGUAGUCAGCGACGAAGACGAUUCAAGAAGAGGAACAUUGCUGAGAAAGUGAAUGGGACUUGCAAACAGGGUAAGUGUUACAAUUGUUUGUUUGAUUUUUACCAUGCAUACUUUGCUUUGCUCUGUUUCAGAUUUCACAUGCAGAAAUGGUCUCAUAGCAGUGCCAACAGUGAAUAAGGAUUUCAGCUGCUGUGAAACAACUCAACAGAAAGUAGGUAAGCAUUGAAUGAAUGCACUUGAGUUGUACAAUUUGAUGUGAUGCUUUUCUCUGUUUCAGAUUCAAGUUCCUGGUGUAGACAGAGAAAUGUGUUUGAAGAAGGAAUUCUACUACUGUGAUUCAACUCUACAGAAGCAAGGUAAGUAGAAACAAAAUUUUGGUUUAAUUUAACUCAUGUGUUUUGCACUGCAUGCUAUUUUUCAGGUCUCUCAUGCAGUGAUGCAAAAGAAGAAGAUUUCAAGAAAGAAUCACUGCUGCAACUCAGGCCUAUAACAAGGUAAGUGUUUACUAUAUUGUAUACAAAAUGUUUCUCUGUUUUACUCUGUUUGAAGGUUUCAAUUGCAGAGAUGUUGCAGAGAUGUUUUGACAGCUUGUGACAGAAAAGAAAUUCAGCAGCUGUGUCUCAACUCUAGCCACGAGGUAAGUCAAAACAAAUAUACUGGUUUGUAUGUUAUGUUGUUAUGCCCUUCUAUGUUUCAGACUUACAUUGCUGUGACUGUUCCACAGUGGGUCAAAAAAGAGACGAAUACAGGUUUCAAGAAGAAAAUUGGCUGUUAAAAACCUGCACAAAAUAUGAGGUAAGUAAACUACUCUUUUGGUUUGUUUUGUGCUUUGUUAUGCUUGACUAUUUUUCAGAUUGGAAUGGUGGGUCGUUACAGAGCAGACUUUUGGACAACUGAGAAGUUGAGAAACAGAGAAUGAUUCAAUAUCAGCUAGGUAAGUCUUGAUUAUUCUGCAUUGUAAAAUGUGUUUCUUUUUCAUUUCAGUAUGGCUGUGGUAAGUACACUAACUUUCUAUAAUUUCAUAUUGAACUGUUUUGAUGACUUGUAUUAUGCAUUGCUAAAUGUUUUUUUCAUUUCAGUAUCCUGUGGUAAGUACACUAACUUUCUAUAAUUUCAUAUUGAACUGUUUUGAUGAUUUGUAUACUGCUAUGCAUUGCUAAAUGUUUUUUUCAUUUCAGUAUAGCUGUGGUAAGUACACUAACUUUCUUUAAUUUUCAUAUUGAACUGUUUUGAUGACUUGUAUUCUGCUAUACAAAAUGUGCUUUUUUCAAUUUCAGGUCAGCAAUGGUAAGUUUAUUGUGUUUCUUUAUGUAUAAUUUUGUAUACAUAUUGUUUUUUUCAUCAUAGCAUGUUUUUUAUAUUUAUGCUUUGUGUAAGUAAAAUGUUCAUAAAUCAUUCUUAUCUUUAAACUAAAAAUGUAUUUUGAUAUGCAAAAUGUCUGUAUGAUUUCAGUUGCCAGAGGUGAGUACCAUUACAGUUGAAAAGUUAGUUUUGUUUAGUUAAAGUUUUGGUUCACAGUUCUGUUUAUUAUUUGGCAAAAUUUACAUGUAUGCAUUGAGUCUUGAUUUCAGCUCGAUUGUGGACUGAAGAAGAUUGCCAGCAGAGGGAUUGGAUACAAAAUACAAAGUAAGUACUGAGUUUCUUACUAAAAGUUUUGAGUUGUAUUCAUUGUGUGUUAAUAUGCUAUGAUUGCUAUGAACAUGACUUUUGUAUUUCAGCGAAGACAACAUAGGUAAGUAAAAUUGUUAUCUGUUUCAAGUUUACUGUUAUAGUUCAAUAUUGUGUUUAUAAAUUGUAAGUUGUACAAACACAUUCAAAAGUUUCUGAUCAUGCUUUCAAUUUCAUUUCAGCCCUACUACAAGACGAGUGUUUUCUACUACUAGACGUGUCAGGUUUACUUCCAGGCGAGCAGUGACAACAAGGCGCCUUUGUGGAAACAGCAAAACAAACAACUCUACUGCAAGACGAGCAGUAACAGCAAGGCGCCUGAACAUGCAACACAAUAAAAAAAAUGCCAAUUUGCAAACCUUGAUGUGGACACCGAGUAGUCAAUACAUACGUGUGGCGUAUAGCUGCGACAAAACCGUGGGUCCAUCGCACCGAUAACUUGAACAUUGGCCCGUGUAUGGACAUCAGUGCAACUUUGUGAAUCCAUGUAUCUUUGUGAAUCCAUGUAACAUUGCGAAUGUGUGUCGAUCGAAAAAUGUGUACAUUCUGAACUGAAACGAACUCGGUGUUGCAAGUGGCAAGUGUUGACAGUGUGUAUGUUUAUGUUUAUGUUUUUACAUGAAAACUAAAGGAGAUUGUUCUCCUACCUUUUUUUUCCUUGUUUUAUUGCGCUGGCCAGCAAUAUUGAUGUAUUGAUGUAUGUGUUUGUGUUUAAACUAUGCAAUACCAAAAUCAAACAAAAAAUAAACAUUAACAGUCAUUAACUGUGUUUGGGCGGCCGAGGGGUUUAAGACUCCACAAGUGUGAAGCGCACUGAUAGCACUUGGGGGUGAACACCUCGGUAUUUCGGUGCUAAAAUGUUUUCACGGUGCUUAUCUUGACGCACUGUUAAGACUACCAACCAGUUAAUGAUUGCUUCAUCUUUAAACAAAAAGUAAGUCUCUACUUUGGCACAAGAGACUCCAAGUACCAAAUACCAACAAUUAAAAAGCAGACGUUUUUCAAAACUAUGAUCGCUGAGAUUGAUAGUCAGAUGGAGUCCUGCCCAUUUAGCUGUGUAGCGGUCUAGGGCGGGGUUGCAAGUCAAUACGAAAUGAGGCGCUAUAAAGCAACUCGUCCCCGUUAUGACCGUCAAUACUUUCGACACUAUCUGGGAAUCCUUUCAACACCACAUUGUUGCGCUGUUGGAAGGGUGGUAGGCACGCAUGGUGACAUGCCUGUGCUUUGCUAUGCGACACCAUGGUAUUUUCGUACGGUGACACGAAAUAUCUUAAUCUGGCUCUCUCAGAAACGCAGGCACGCGUUGACCGAACCUGACCGAUGACCGAGCAAUAACAUUUCUAUUAAGUGCUUCAAUGCACAAAGUCUGCUAGGCUGGGUGGGAA